This 301-nucleotide ribosomal RNA is filed under the name uncultured bacterium. RNAcentral's name for it is "partial 16S ribosomal RNA". It matches the Rfam family "Bacterial small subunit ribosomal RNA", at positions 509 to 807 of the family's 1533-position model. The record is from RNAcentral.
CAGUCGCCGCGGGAACACGAAGGGUGCAAGCGUUACUCGGAAUUUCUGGGCGUAAAGCGUGCGUAGGUGGUGGUUUAAGUCCGUUGUGAAAGCCCUGGGCUCAACCUGGGAAUUGCAGUGGAUACUGGGUCACUAGAGUGUGGUAGAGGAUAGUGGAAUUUCCGGUGUAGCAGUGAAAUGCGUAGAGAUCGGAAGGAACAUCUGUGGCGAAGGCGACUAUCUGGGCCAACACUGACGCUGAGGCACGAAAGCGUGGGGAGCAAACAGGAUUAGAUACCCCGGUAGUCCCUGUCUCUUAUAC